This 1433-nucleotide ribosomal RNA is filed under the name uncultured organism. RNAcentral describes it as "SSU rRNA". It matches the Rfam family "Bacterial small subunit ribosomal RNA". The record is from RNAcentral.
GAUGAACGCUAGCUACAGGCUUAACACAUGCAAGUCGAGGGGCAUCAGGAAGAAAGCUUGCUUUCUUUGCUGGCGACCGGCGCACGGGUGAGUAACACGUAUCCAACCUGCCCUUUACUCCGGGAUAGCCUUUCGAAAGAAAGAUUAAUACCCGAUAGCAUAAUGAUUCCGCAUGGUUUCAUUAUUAAAGGAUUCCGGUAAAGGAUGGGGAUGCGUUCCAUUAGGUUGUUGGUGAGGUAACGGCCCACCAAGCCUUCGAUGGAUAGGGGUUCUGAGAGGAAGGUCCCCCACAUUGGAACUGAGACACGGUCCAAACUCCUACGGGAGGCAGCAGUGAGGAAUAUUGGUCAAUGGGCGCUAGCCUGAACCAGCCAAGUAGCGUGAAGGAUGAAGGCUCUAUGGGUCGUAAACUUCUUUUAUAUAAGAAUAAAGUGCAGUAUGUAUACUGUUUUGUAUGUAUUAUAUGAAUAAGGAUCGGCUAACUCCGUGCCAGCAGCCGCGGUAAUACGGAGGAUCCGAGCGUUAUCCGGAUUUAUUGGGUUUAAAGGGAGCGUAGGUGGACUGGUAAGUCAGUUGUGAAAGUUUGCGGCUCAACCGUAAAAUUGCAGUUGAUACUGUCAGUCUUGAGUACAGUAGAGGUGGGCGGAAUUCGUGGUGUAGCGGUGAAAUGCUUAGAUAUCACGAAGAACUCCGAUUGCGAAGGCAGCUCACUGGACUGCAACUGACACUGAUGCUCGAAAGUGUGGGUAUCAAACAGGAUUAGAUACCCUGGUAGUCCACACAGUAAACGAUGAAUACUCGCUGUUUGCGAUAUACAGUAAGCGGCCAAGCGAAAGCAUUAAGUAUUCCACCUGGGGAGUACGCCGGCAACGGUGAAACUCAAAGGAAUUGACGGGGGCCCGCACAAGCGGAGGAACAUGUGGUUUAAUUCGAUGAUACGCGAGGAACCUUACCCGGGCUUAAAUUGCAGUGGAAUGAUGUGGAAACAUGUCAGUGAGCAAUCACCGCUGUGAAGGUGCUGCAUGGUUGUCGUCAGCUCGUGUCGUGAGGUGUCGGCGUAAGUGCCAUAACGAGCGCAACCCUUAUCUUUAGUUACUAACAGGUUACGCUGAGGACUCUAGAGAGACUGCCGUCGUAAGAUGUGAGGAAGGUGGGGAUGACGUCAAAUCAGCACGGCCCUUACGUCCGGGGCUACACACGUGUUACAAUGGGGGGUACAGAAGGCAGCUAGCGGGUGACCGUAUGCUAAUCCCAAAAUCCUCUCUCAGUUCGGAUCGAAGUCUGCAACCCGACUUCGUGAAGCUGGAUUCGCUAGUAAUCGCGCAUCAGCCACGGCGCGGUGAAUACGUUCCCGGGCCUUGUACACACCGCCCGUCAAGCCAUGGGAGCCGGGGGUACAUGAAGUACGUAACCGCAAGGAUCGUCCUAGGGUA